This 494-nucleotide ribosomal RNA is filed under the name uncultured bacterium. RNAcentral's name for it is "partial 16S ribosomal RNA". It matches the Rfam family "Bacterial small subunit ribosomal RNA", at positions 28 to 507 of the family's 1533-position model. The record is from RNAcentral.
GACGAACGCUGGCGGCGUGCUUAACACAUGCAAGUCGAACGGAAAGGCCUGUCCUUCCUUGUGUUGGACGGGUACUCGAGUGGCGAACGGGUGAGUAACACGUGAGUGAUCUGCCCCCAACUUGGGUAUAAGCCUGGGAAACUGGGUCUAAUUCCCGAUAGGACUGCAGGGUGGUGCCUGUGGUGGAAAACGAUUUUCUAGUGGUUGGGGAUGAGCUCGCGGCCUAUCAGCUUGUUGGUGGGGUAAUGGCCUACCAAGGCGGCGACGGGUAGCCGGCCUGAGAGGGUGGACGGCCACAUUGGGACUGAGAUACGGCCCAGACUCCUACGGGAGGCAGCAGUGGGGAAUAUUGCACAAUGGGCGGAAGCCUGAUGCAGCGACGCAGCGUGGGGGAUGACGGCCUUCGGGUGGUAAACUCCUUUCGACCGCGAGGAAGCCGCCUGGUUGGAAGGGUGGUGACGGUAGUGGUAGAAGAAGCACCGGCUAACUACGUG